RNAcentral lists this unclassified non-coding RNA (21 nucleotides) under Chlamydomonas reinhardtii. RNAcentral describes it as "small RNA Cre_0050". The record is from RNAcentral. Lineage: Eukaryota; Viridiplantae; Chlorophyta; Chlorophyceae; Chlamydomonadales; Chlamydomonadaceae.
AACCAGGCGAGCUUAACGAGC